This 489-nucleotide long non-coding RNA is filed under the name Homo sapiens (human). RNAcentral describes it as "non-protein coding lnc-MCUR1-4:1". Lineage: Eukaryota; Metazoa; Chordata; Mammalia; Primates; Hominidae. The record is from RNAcentral.
CAUGAAUUGACUGAGUACAUAUCAAGUCUUACACUGUAUACUUCACAUGCACUAACUCUCCUACUCUUCACAACAAGCAUGCAAGGUGGGAAAAUAGAGGCUGAGAGAAAUUGAGUAACUUGCCUCAAGCCAUAUAUUCGGCACCGAGAUGUGAUCUGAGCCAGAGCCAACAACUGAGGUCCAAACAGCGUGCCUUGCGCAAGGCCACACAAGAGAUAAUGGCAUUGGCUGUACCAGUGGCCCAGAUCCUUCACCUGCAGAAGAGCUUCCCAGAGAGGAGCAAGCCUUCCUGCCGUCACCUCUGGUGUCAUCCUAUAGGACAUUAAAACCAACUCAAGAUUGUGUUGAAAACUGUUUUCCUUUUGAGGAUGCUAAUAAGAACAAGAUCAUAUCAACGGGUAUGGAUCAUGGCAGGAUUUUCCUUCAGCUGAGUCUUUUAAUGAGCCGUUUCAUAAUGAGGGCUGAAUCUACACACAGUAUCUACAUGCU